RNAcentral lists this ribosomal RNA (466 nucleotides) under uncultured bacterium. Its description in RNAcentral is "partial 16S ribosomal RNA". It matches the Rfam family "Bacterial small subunit ribosomal RNA", at positions 28 to 507 of the family's 1533-position model. The record is from RNAcentral.
GACGAACGCUGGCGGCGCGCCUAACACAUGCAAGUCGAACGAGCGAGCGAGAGUUUGCUUGCUGAAGCGAGUUGCGAAAGGGUGAGUAACGCGUGAGGAACCUGCCUCAAAUGGGGGGACAACAGGUGGAAACGACGGCUAAUACGGCAAAAGCCCACUGGGCCGGAUGGGACAGGGGGAAGAGGGGAAAUCGGCUUUGAGAUGUCCUGGAUGCGGACUGGGUCUUUGGGGAGGUUACGGGCAACCCAGGCGACGAACGGUAGCCGGACUGAGAGGCUGAACGGCCACACUGGGACCGAGGCACGGCACAGACGCCUACGGGAGGCAGCAGUGGGGAAUAUUGCACAAUGGGGGAAACCCUGAUGAAGCGACGCCGCGUGGAGGAAGCAGGUCUCCGGAUUGUAAACUCCUGUUGUUGGGGAAGAUAAUGACGGUACCCAACAAAGAAGUGACGGCUAACUACGUG